RNAcentral lists this ribosomal RNA (495 nucleotides) under uncultured bacterium. RNAcentral's name for it is "partial 16S ribosomal RNA". It matches the Rfam family "Bacterial small subunit ribosomal RNA", at positions 28 to 507 of the family's 1533-position model. The record is from RNAcentral.
GACGAACGCUGGCGGCGUGCCUAAUACAUGCAAGUAGAACGCUGAAGGAGGAGCUUGCUCUUCUGGAUGAGUUGCGAACGGGUGAGUAACGCGUAGGUAACCUGCCUGGUAGCGGGGGAUAACUAUUGGAAACGAUAGCUAAUACCGCAUAACAGUAGAUGUUGCAUGACAUUUACUUAAAAGGUGCAAUUGCAUCACUACCAGAUGGACCUGCGUUGUAUUAGCUAGUUGGUGGGGUAACGGCUCACCAAGGCGACGAUACAUAGCCGACCUGAGAGGGUGAUCGGCCACACUGGGACUGAGACACGGCCCAGACUCCUACGGGAGGCAGCAGUAGGGAAUCUUCGGCAAUGGACGGAAGUCUGACCGAGCAACGCCGCGUGAGUGAAGAAGGUUUUCGGAUCGUAAAGCUCUGUUGUAAGAGAAGAACGAGUGUGAGAGUGGAAAGUUCACACUGUGACGGUAUCUUACCAGAAAGGGACGGCUAACUACGCG